GAACAUCCUCGUCCCCAGGCCCAAGCUCGGGCGGCCCUCACAGUGGCCCUGGGUCAGGCUGUUGAGCAGUUGAUUGUGAUUGGUUCUUUUGCUCUAAAGGAAUGUUGCGGGUGGAAAGGAAAUGCGGGUUAACAAUAAACAAUGGCUGGCUCGAAGAGUGGCAAUUCAAUAAACUUGUAUUAAAUUAUGGUAGAAAUCAGAUAUUUACAUGUAAAUUUUUGCUUAAACUAUGGUAUGGACACAUUCAAGACUUCUGGAAACAAACUACAUGGAUAUUUGAAGGAUUAAAACAUCUGAAAGUUGAAACGAAUUGAAUGAUAAAGAUAUAUAUUUUACAGUUCAAGACUCAGAUAUCAGUCACGGUCCUACUAAAGAAAGACUAUAGAAAUUUAUCUUGUGUAUGCAACGUCUACAAGAUUGUGUAAAUUCGUCUACAAGAUUAUUGUGUAAAUUGUCGCCCUCCACCUAUCUGUCUGCGUCAACGCAAGUUUAUACAUUGUAUUCGACAAUUUGAAUAGUUUAUAAAUUUAUAAUGUAAUCUACGAAAAUUUAGUAUUUAUCAAAUACUUGAUUCACAAAGUGAAUGGCAGCAUUUUGUUCUGCUUGCCAAUCACAAUGAACAGUUCACAAUGGUCAAUGGAUCCAGUGUUGUUUGAAAACCACAAGCUCAAUUGUUAUUAACCCAAGGUGAAAAGCUGGCUUUUCACACACAAAAUAUUGAAGGGAUUUUCUAGAUGGAAUUAAAUUAUUUAUUCAAACUAUUGAACUAUUGAAGCAAAUUUAGAGAAUACAGCAUAUUAAUAAUUUAACCAGACAACCAGUUAUGUGUCAAGUCUAAAGACGGAUUUCCAGUGCUUGCAUCUAAUUAAAAUUAACAGUUCAGCAUUGUGAUUGGAUGAAAGUGCUCAUGCAUUGCAGCGAGCUGCUUCGUGAGAGGACUGGAAAUCUGCCUUAAGAAGCAUUUUAGCUACCUGUUGCUAAAGUUCAUUUAUAAACACUGUCACUGAAAUAUUUAUUAACAAAUACACCCUUCUGGAAAGUACAUUAGGGAUGGAUUUACUGGGGGGGUGCACCCCCCUAGCCAUGGCCAGGGGGUGCUAUUUUUCAUGAUAAAGCAAAACUUAUUAGAGACAAAAUGAGAUUCAGUAAUUUGAGUAAUAACAUGAUGAUAAGCGAACUGUGAACAACAAUUACAAUUCAAAUACUGUAGUCAAGCAAGACUUUGCAGUAGUGGAACAAGUUGAUAGAUGGGUAAGGUCACUGGAAACCAAUUGCAACGUAAUCGUUCGGAAAUUUUUUUUGCCUAAAAAGUUGUCUACGGGGGGGGGGGGUGGAAAGGUCAUUGCUCUCUGCGAAAAAAUUUUUUCCCCCCAAAAUGUUUUAAAUAGAAGUCCCUAAAAAAAGUUGCACCCCCCUUACCAGAUCAUGCUGGAUCCAUCCCUGAAGUAUACAUCACUUUGACUAUUCUGGUUUUGUAGUAUGACAUAUCCUCUUAUAGGAAUUCCUAUAAGAAAAUUAUCCUACUUUCCUGUAGGAAUAGUAAAUGACACACAAUGUUCUUCAUCAGUCAUCGCUCUUAAUUUUUUAAUGCAAAAAAAUAUAUACGAUUAUUAAUAAAUAUACACUAAUAUUACAAAUAUAAAUAUUUAUACAAGAAAUUGGUUACACUAAACAUUGCAGACCAGUUAUAGUUUUCACCAAUGGUUUAAUAACAAGUCAAAACAAAAACAUAACCUAAAGAAAACCAUUGCAGUGUACACAAGCACCAAUUAAUCAUUCUACCUCCAUGCAAUGCCAUAUUUAUUGACCUUUGUUAUUAAACCAUCCAGGUAAUAACUAUAAUUGACAUGUAAAGUUAAUUACAUUAACCCAUUAAUUUAAUCGUAUGGCAUUAGACAAGUAAAAAAUAAGUAGGCAGCACUGGGGCACAUUGCAGCUCAAUGGGUUAACUAGAGACAUUGUAAGAUUUUUUGUUAAC
Paramuricea clavata is the source of this 1978-nucleotide non-coding RNA. Lineage: Eukaryota; Metazoa; Cnidaria; Anthozoa; Malacalcyonacea; Plexauridae. The record is from the annotation of a GenBank genome assembly.